RNAcentral lists this ribosomal RNA (800 nucleotides) under uncultured bacterium. Its description in RNAcentral is "bacterial SSU rRNA". It matches the Rfam family "Bacterial small subunit ribosomal RNA", at positions 8 to 807 of the family's 1533-position model. The record is from RNAcentral.
AGAGUUUGAUCAUGGCUCAGGAUGAACGCUGGCGGCGUGCUUAACACAUGCAAGUCGAACGAAGCACUUUAUUUGAUUUCUUCGGAAUGAAGAUUUAGUGACUGAGUGGCGGACGGGUGAGUAACGCGUGGGCAACCUGCCUCAUACAGGGGGAUAACAGUUGGAAACGACUGCUAAUACCGCAUAAGCGCACAGUACCGCAUGGUACGGUGUGAAAAACUCCGGUGGUAUGAGAUGGGCCCGCGUCUGAUUAGCCAGUUGGCGGGGUAACGGCCCACCAAAGCGACGAUCGGUAGCCGACCUGAGAGGGUGACCGGCCACAUUGGGACUGAGACACGGCCCAAACUCCUACGGGAGGCAGCAGUGGGGAAUGUUGCACAAUGGGGGAAACCCUGAUGCAGCGACGCCGCGUGAGCGAAGAAGUAUUUCGGUAUGUAAAGCUCAAUCAGCAGGGAAGAAGAAUGACGGUACCUGACUAAGAAGCACCGGCUAAAUACGUGCCAGCAGCCGCGGUAAUACGUAUGGUGCAAGCGUUAUCCGGAUUUACUGGGUGUAAAGGGAGCGCAGGCGGAAGGCUAAGUCUGAUGUGAAAGCCCGGGGCUCAACCCCGGUACUGCAUUGGAAACUGGUCAUCUAGAGUGUCGGAGGGGUAAGUGGAAUUCCUAGUGUAGCGGUGAAAUGCGUAGAUAUUAGGAGGAACACCAGUGGCGAAGGCGGCUUACUGGACGAUUACUGACGCUGAGGCUCGAAAGCGUGGGGAGCAAACAGGAUUAGAUACCCUGGUAGUCCACGCCGUAAAC